This 420-nucleotide ribosomal RNA is filed under the name uncultured bacterium. Its description in RNAcentral is "bacterial SSU rRNA". It matches the Rfam family "Bacterial small subunit ribosomal RNA", at positions 381 to 793 of the family's 1533-position model. The record is from RNAcentral.
CCCUGAUGCAGCCAUGCCGCGUGUGUGAAGAAGGCCUUCGGGUUGUAAAGCACUUUCAGUAGGGAGGAAGGUAGUGUAGUUAACACCUGCACUAUUUGACGUUACCUACAGAAGAAGCACCGGCUAACUCCGUGCCAGCAGCCGCGGUAAUACGGAGGGUGCGAGCGUUAAUCGGAAUUACUGGGCGUAAAGCGCAUGCAGGCGGCCUGUUAAGUCAGAUGUGAAAGCCCGGGGCUUAACCUCGGAAUUGCAUUUGAAACUGGCAGGCUAGAGUCUUGUAGAGGGGGUAGAAUUUCAGGUGUAGCGGUGAAAAUGCGUAGAGAUCUGAAGGAAUACCAGUGGCGAAGGCGGCCCCCUGGACAAAGACUGACGCUCAGAUGCGAAAGCGUGGGGAGCAAACAGGAUUAGAUACCCUGGUAG